Molecule: ribosomal RNA, 400 nt
Filed under: uncultured bacterium
Lineage: Bacteria
Description: bacterial SSU rRNA
Rfam family: Bacterial small subunit ribosomal RNA
Source: RNAcentral
UAGGGAAUCUUGCGCAAUGGAGGAAACUCUGACGCAGCGACACCGCGUGAGUGAUGAAGGCCUUCGGGUUGUAAAGCUCUGUGAUAGGGGAAAAUGAUGAUGGUACCCUAUCAGAAAGGACCGGCUAACUUCGUGCCAGCAGCCGCGGUAAUACGAGGGGUCCAAGCGUUGUUCGGAAUUACUGGGCGUAAAGCGGGUGUAGGUGGCCAAAUAAGUCACAUGUGAAAGCCCAGGGCUCAACCCUGGAAGUGCAUGUGAUACUGCUUGGCUUGAGUACGGGAGAGGGAAGUAGAAUACCUGGUGUAGUGGUGAAAUACGUAGAUAUCAGGUGGAAUUUCGGUGGCGAAGGCGGCUUCCUGGCCCAGUACUGACACUCAGACCCGAAAGCGUGGGUAGCAAA